RNAcentral lists this ribosomal RNA (253 nucleotides) under uncultured bacterium. Its description in RNAcentral is "partial 16S ribosomal RNA". It matches the Rfam family "Bacterial small subunit ribosomal RNA", at positions 524 to 776 of the family's 1533-position model. The record is from RNAcentral.
UACAGAGGCCUCGAGCGUUAGGCGGAAUCACUGGGCUUAAAGCGUGUGUAGGCGGACUUCUAAGUACCUUGUGAAAUCCCACGGCUCACCCGUGGAACUGCUCGGUAUACUGGUCGUCUUGAGCCUUCUAGGGGCGAGUGGAACAAAUGGUGGAGCGGUGAAAUGCGUAGAUAUCAAGAGGAACACCUGAGGCGAAGGCGGGUUGCUAGGCUGACACUGACGCUGAAGCGCGAAAGCUAGGGUAGCAAACGGG